AGAGUUUGAUCAUGGCUCAGAACGUACGCUGGCGGCACGCCUAACACAUGCAAGUCGAACGAAGUAGCAAUACUUAGUGGCAGACGGGUGAGUAACAUGUAGGUAUCUGCCCUUUGGCCUGGAAUAACACGAGGAAACUUGUGCUAAUACCGGAUAAGUCUUUACGGAGAAAGCUUUAUGCACCAUUGGAUGAGCCUGCACUUGAUUAGUUUGUUGGUGGGGUAAUGGCCUACCAAGACUGUGAUCAAUAGCUGAUUUGAGAGGAUGAUCAGCCACAUUGGGACUGAGACACGGCCCAAACUCCUACGGGAGGCAGCAGUGGGGAAUCUUGCACAAUGGAGGAAACUCUGAUGCAGCGAUGCCGCGUGAGUGAAGAAGGCCUUUGGGUUGUAAAGCUCUUUCGUCGGGGAAGAAAAUGACUGUACCCGAAUAAGAAGGUCCGGCUAACUUCGUGCCAGCAGCCGCGGUAAUAC
This 473-nucleotide ribosomal RNA is filed under the name uncultured bacterium. Its description in RNAcentral is "bacterial SSU rRNA". It matches the Rfam family "Bacterial small subunit ribosomal RNA", at positions 8 to 526 of the family's 1533-position model. The record is from RNAcentral.